This 543-nucleotide ribosomal RNA is filed under the name Triticum aestivum (bread wheat). Its description in RNAcentral is "partial small subunit ribosomal RNA". The record is from RNAcentral. Lineage: Eukaryota; Viridiplantae; Streptophyta; Magnoliopsida; Poales; Poaceae.
AUGAUUGAAAAAGUUGUUGCUUCCAUUACCAAUACAAGUGUUCAAAUAAUAACAAAAACUGAUCCCGCUGAUACAGGCAGAGACAAAAACAGAGGUUUAUUUGCUCGGUUUCAGAGAGGGGGGCGAAGUUUAUCACUAAUCAACAAUAUUAUUGGAGGCUUGUCCAUGCCUACGCUAACAACAAGCCCUGAUGCAGUUGUAACAGCAGAAGCGGUUGACCUAAUCCAACAGCCUGUUCCAUCGGUAAAAGCUGAGCACACCGGAGAUAGGGUCCUAUUUGAACCACCAAUGGCAGGAACUGCUCCAGUUGGAAUUCUGCCAGGACAUGUGCACAAUGACGUGUCGACAGGGCACGAUCCUACUCCACGAGUGGCUGACACUGACGAUGCUUACGCGUUACGCCUACAAGCUGAAGAAUAUGUUGUUGAUAUUACAUCUACAGUAGCUAACGCGGGGGGAUUGGAACAAAAUGCCAAUGUACUUUCAGAACAAAUAGGAUCUCCAAUUCGUAAGUGUGGUGCUGAUAUCUUUCCUGAACAGUGA